RNAcentral lists this ribosomal RNA (434 nucleotides) under uncultured bacterium. RNAcentral describes it as "partial 16S ribosomal RNA". It matches the Rfam family "Bacterial small subunit ribosomal RNA", at positions 29 to 507 of the family's 1533-position model. The record is from RNAcentral.
AGCGAACGCUGGCGGCAGGCCUAACACAUGCAAGUCGAACGAACCUUUCGGGGUUAGUGGCGGACGGGUGAGUAACACGUGGGAACGUGCCUUUAGGUUUGGAAUAACUCAGGGAAACUUGUGCUAAUACCGAAUGUGCCCUUCGGGGGAAAGAUUUAUCGCCUUUAGAGCGGCCCGCGUCUGAUUAGCUAGUUGGUUGAGGUAAUGGCUCACCAAGGCGACGAUCAGUAGCUGGUCUGAGAGGAUGAUCAGCCACAUUGGGACUGAGACACGGCCCAAACUCCUACGGGAGGCAGCAGUGGGGAAUCUUGCGCAAUGGGCGAAAGCCUGACGCAGCCAUGCCGCGUGAAUGAUGAAGGUCUUAGGAUUGUAAAAUUCUUUCACCGGGGACGAUAAUGACGGUACCCGGAGAAGAAGCCCCGGCUAACUUCGUG